Long non-coding RNA from Haliaeetus leucocephalus (bald eagle), 434 nucleotides. RefSeq lists it as uncharacterized. Lineage: Eukaryota; Metazoa; Chordata; Aves; Accipitriformes; Accipitridae. The transcript has 3 exons. The record is from RefSeq and is a predicted model, not a curated record.
CCCACGCUGGAGUUAAAAGGCCAGUUAAAAACAUUCCUCUGUGAAGAAUUCUGUAGUUUACUCUUUGCUGGUAUGGUGAAUGGAUUGCAUGGGUCCCUUUAGGGUCCCUUUGAGCCUAAUUUUUCAGAGAUUCUGUGCUGAGAUGGCAGUGUUGUGAUUGACACUCAAGUGAUGAAACAGAUCCUUGCUCAAAGGCCUUGUGGGCUUCCUCUCUUCCCUGCAUUGCACUUUUGUGAUGUUUCUCAGCAAGAAAGAGAAUAGGCUCUUGGUACCACACAGUCCUGCUGGAAUGUGAUUUGACAGAAGGGAGAUGUUUGCAGGUCCAGUCUCUGCAGACUGGACUGUGUACACAGGGUCUACCCUGCUGGCACCAUCAAGACUGACACACAACGUGCACCAUGGGGUAUGAUUUCCAGAGCACUCGAUCACACCAG